Molecule: ribosomal RNA, 119 nt
Filed under: Smittium mucronatum
Lineage: Eukaryota; Fungi; Kickxellomycota; Harpellomycetes; Harpellales; Legeriomycetaceae
Source: RNAcentral
UAUUACGGAAAUACACAUCAGAAAACACCAAAUACCGUCUUAUGUUUGAAGUUAAGCUGGUAAUAGUGAUGUAAGUACUGUGGUGGGGGACCACACGAGAAUAAGACAUGCCGUAGUAU